RNAcentral lists this ribosomal RNA (269 nucleotides) under uncultured bacterium. RNAcentral describes it as "partial 16S ribosomal RNA". It matches the Rfam family "Bacterial small subunit ribosomal RNA", at positions 524 to 789 of the family's 1533-position model. The record is from RNAcentral.
UACGUAGGGUGCAGGCGUUAAUCGGAAUUACUGGGCGUAAAGCGUGCGCAGGCGGUUUGCUAAGACAGGUGUGAAAUCCCCGGGCUUAACCUGGGAACUGCGCUUGUAACUGGCAAGCUUGAGUGUGGCAGAGGGGGGUGGAAUUCCACGUGUAGCAGUGAAAUGCGUAGAGAUGUGGAGGAACACCGAUGGCGAAGGCAGCCCCCUGGGCUAACACUGACGCCUCAGGCACGAAAGCGUGGGGAGCAAACAGGGAAUUAGAUACCCGG